RNAcentral lists this ribosomal RNA (376 nucleotides) under uncultured bacterium. Its description in RNAcentral is "bacterial SSU rRNA". It matches the Rfam family "Bacterial small subunit ribosomal RNA", at positions 524 to 898 of the family's 1533-position model. The record is from RNAcentral.
UACGUAGGGUGCGAGCGUUAAUCGGAAUUACUGGGCGUAAAGCGUGCGCAGGCGGUUUUGUAAGACAGGCGUGAAAUCCCCGGGCUCAACCUGGGAACUGCGCUUGUGACUGCAAGGCUAGAGUAUGGCAGAGGGGGGUGGAAUUCCACGUGUAGCAGUGAAAUGCGUAGAGAUGUGGAGGAACACCAAUGGCGAAGGCAGCCCCCUGGGCCAAUACUGACGCUCAUGCACGAAAGCGUGGGUAGCAAACAGGAUUAGAUACCCUGGUAGUCCACGCCCUAAACGAUGUCAACUAGGUGUUGGGUGGGUAAAACCAUUUAGUACCGGAGCUAACGCGUGAAGUUGACCGCCUGGGGAGUACGGCCGCAAGGUUAAA